UACGGAGGGGGCGAGCGUUGUCCGAAGUUACUGGGCGUAAAGCGCGUGUAGGCGGCUAAGUAAGUCGGGCGUGAAAUCCCACGGCUCAACCGUGGAAGUGCACUCGAAACUGCAUAGCUAGAGUCCUGGAGAGGAAGGUGGAAUGCUUGGUGUAGAGGUGAAAUUCGUAGAUAUCAAGCGGAACACCGGUGGCGAAGGCGGCCUUCUGGACAGUGACUGACGCUGAGACGCGAAAGCGUGGGGAGCAAACAGG
Molecule: ribosomal RNA, 253 nt
Filed under: uncultured bacterium
Lineage: Bacteria
Description: partial 16S ribosomal RNA
Rfam family: Bacterial small subunit ribosomal RNA
Source: RNAcentral